Small nuclear RNA from Marmota marmota marmota (Alpine marmot), 105 nucleotides. The record is from Ensembl. Lineage: Eukaryota; Metazoa; Chordata; Mammalia; Rodentia; Sciuridae.
GGGUUCCAUCCCCAAUACACAAGAAAUAAAAUUGGAACACAGAGAAGAUCAGCUUGGUCCCUAUGAAUGGAUGAUAGUCAAAUUCAUGAAGAAUUCCGUAUUUUU